This is a long non-coding RNA of Xyrauchen texanus (razorback sucker), 3136 nucleotides long. RefSeq lists it as uncharacterized. NCBI's taxonomy places the organism in Eukaryota, Metazoa, Chordata, Actinopteri, Cypriniformes, Catostomidae. The transcript is spliced from 3 exons. The record is from RefSeq and is a predicted model, not a curated record.
UCACAUUGAGAAUAAAUGAGUUAAAAACUGAUUAAUGUGUCUUUCAGAGGCUUUAUAUGGAGUUAUGAUGAACAUAAGAUGCAUUUCAAACUGUUCUGAGACCAGUGCAGACAGACAGCACACUGGAGGUUAAGUCAUGCACUAAAUAGGGAGCAAGGGAGCAUCCUAUAGCUCUCCUAUAACUGUUCUGAGACCAGUGCAGACAGACAGCACACUGGAGGUUAAGUCAUGCACUAAAUAGGGAGCAAGGGAGCAUCCUAUAGCUCUCUAUAACUGUUCUGAGACCAGUGCAGACAGACAGCACACUGGAGGUUAAGUCAUGCACUAAAUAGGGAGCAAGGGAGCAUCCUAUAGCUCUCCUAUAACUGUUCUGAGACCAGUGCAGACAGACAGCACACUGGAGGUUAAGUCAUGCACUAAAUAGGAAGCAAGGGAGCAUCCUAUAGCUCUCCUAUAACUGUUCUGAGACCAGUGCAGACAGACAGCACACUGGAAGUUAAGUCAUGCACUAAAUAGGGAGCAAGGGAGCAUCCUAUAACUCUCCUAUAACUGUUCUGAGACCAGUGCAGACAGACAGCACACUGGGGGUAAAGUCAUGCACUAAAUAGGGAGCAAGGGAGCAUCCUAUAGCUCUCUAUAACUGUUCUGAGACCAGUGCAGACAGACAGCACACUGGAGGUUAAGUCAUGCACUAAAUAGGGACCAAGGGAGCAUCCUAUAGCUCUCCUAUAACUGUUCUGAGACCAGUGCAGACAGACAGCACACUGGAGGUUAAGUCAUGCACUAAAUAGGAAGCAAGGGAGCAUCCUAUAGCUCUCCUAUAACUGUUCUGAGACCAGUGCAGACAGACAGCACACUGGAAGUUAAGUCAUGCACUAAAUAGGGAGCAAGGGAGCAUCCUAUAACUCUCCUAUAACUGUUCUGAGACCAGUGCAGACAGACAGCACACUGGGGGUAAAGUCAUGCACUAAAUAGGGAGCAAGGGAGCAUCCUAUAGCUCUCUAUAACUGUUCUGAGACCAGUGCAGACAGACAGCACACUGGAGGUUAAGUUGUUCACUAAAUAGGGACCAAGGGAGCAUCCUAUAGCUCUCUAUAACUGUUCUGAGACCAGUGCAGACAGACAGCACACUGGAGGUUAAGUCAUGCACUAAAUAGGGACCAAGGGAGCAUCCUAUAUCUCUCCUAUAACUGUUCUGAGACCAGUGCAGACAGACAGCACACUGGAGGUUAAGUCAUGCACUAAAUAGGGACCAAGGGAGCAUCCUAUAUCUCUCCUAUAACUGUUCUGAGACCAGUGCAGACAGACAGCACACUGGAGGUUAAGUCAUGCACUAAAUAGGGACCAAGGGAGCAUCCUAUAGCUCUCUAUAACUGUUCUGAGACCAGUGCAGACAGACAGCACACUGGAGGUUAAGUCAUGCACUAAAUAGGAAGCAAGGGAGCAUCCUAUAGCUCUCCUAUAACUGUUCUGAGACCAGUGCAGACAGACAGCACACUGGAAGUUAAGUCAUGCACUAAAUAGGGAGCAAGGGAGCAUCCUAUAACUCUCCUAUAACUGUUCUGAGACCAGUGCAGACAGACAGCACACUGGGGGUAAAGUCAUGCACUAAAUAGGGAGCAAGGGAGCAUCCUAUAGCUCUCUAUAACUGUUCUGAGACCAGUGCAGACAGACAGCACACUGGAGGUUAAGUUGUUCACUAAAUAGGGACCAAGGGAGCAUCCUAUAGCUCUCUAUAACUGUUCUGAGACCAGUGCAGACAGACAGCACACUGGAGGUUAAGUCAUGCACUAAAUAGGGACCAAGGGAGCAUCCUAUAGCUCUCCUAUAACUGUUCUGAGACCAGUGCAGACAGACAGCACACUGGAGGUUAAGUCAUGCACUAAAUAGGAAGCAAGGGAGCAUCCUAUAGCUCUCCUAUAACUGUUCUGAGACCAGUGCAGACAGACAGCACACUGGAAGUUAAGUCAUGCACUAAAUAGGGAGCAAGGGAGCAUCCUAUAACUCUCCUAUAACUGUUCUGAGACCAGUGCAGACAGACAGCACACUGGGGGUAAAGUCAUGCACUAAAUAGGGAGCAAGGGAGCAUCCUAUAGCUCUCUAUAACUGUUCUGAGACCAGUGCAGACAGACAGCACACUGGAGGUUAAGUUGUUCACUAAAUAGGGACCAAGGGAGCAUCCUAUAGCUCUCUAUAACUGUUCUGAGACCAGUGCAGACAGACAGCACACUGGAGGUUAAGUCAUGCACUAAAUAGGGACCAAGGGAGCAUCCUAUAUCUCUCCUAUAACUGUUCUGAGACCAGUGCAGACAGACAGCACACUGGAGGUUAAGUCAUGCACUAAAUAGGGACCAAGGGAGCAUCCUAUAUCUCUCCUAUAACUGUUCUGAGACCAGUGCAGACAGACAGCACACUGGAGGUUAAGUCAUGCACUAAAUAGGGACCAAGGGAGCAUCCUAUAGCUCUCUAUAACUGUUCUGAGACCAGUGCAGACAGACAGCACACUGGAGGUUAAGUCAUGCACUAAAUAGGGACCAAGGGAGCAUCCUAUAUCUCUCCUAUAACUGUUCUGAGACCAGUGCAGACAGACAGCACACUGGAGGUUAAGUCAUGCACUAAAUAGGGACCAAGGGAGCAUCCUAUAUCUCUCCUAUAACUGUUCUGAGACCAGUGCAGACAGACAGCACACUGGAGGUUAAGUCAUGCACUAAAUAGGGACCAAGGGAGCAUCCUAUAGCUCUCUAUAACUGUUCUGAGACCAGUGCAGACAGACAGCACACUGGAGGUUAAGUCGUUCACUAAAUAGGGACCAAGGGAGCAUCCUAUAGCUCUCUAUAACUGUUCUGAGACCAGUGCAGACAGACAGCACACUGGAGGUUAAGUCAUGCACUAAAUAGGGACCAAGGGAGCAUCCUAUAGCUCUCUAUAACUGUUCUGAGACCAGUGCAGACAGACAGCACACUGGAGGUUAAGUCGUUCACUAAAUAGGGAGCAAGGGAGCAUCCUAUAUCUCUCCUAUAACUGUUCUGAGACCAGUGCAGACAGACAGCACACUGGAGGUUAAGUCAUGCACUAAAUAGGGAGCAAGGGAGCAUCCUAUAGCUCUCUAUAACUGUUCUGAGACCAGUGCAGACAG